This 301-nucleotide ribosomal RNA is filed under the name uncultured bacterium. RNAcentral describes it as "partial 16S ribosomal RNA". It matches the Rfam family "Bacterial small subunit ribosomal RNA", at positions 509 to 807 of the family's 1533-position model. The record is from RNAcentral.
CAGUCGCCACGGGAACACGAAGGGUGCAAGCGUUAAUCGGAAUUACUGGGCGUAAAGCGCGCGUAGGUGGUUCAUUAAGUUGGAUGUGAAAGCCCUGGGCUCAACCUGGGAACUGCAUCCAAAACUGGUGAGCUAGAGUACGGUAGAGGGUAGUGGAAUUUCCUGUGUAGCGGUGAAAUGCGUAGAUAUAGGAAGGAACACCAGUGGCGAAGGCGACUACCUGGACUGAUACUGACACUGAGGCACGAAAGCGUGGGGAGCAAACAGGAUUAGAUACCCCCGUAGUCCCUGUCUCUUAUAC